CAUCAUGUCAACAUCCGUGAUUGUUGGAUAAUUUUGAAUUUUAAAUUUUAAAAUCUAUGUCCUUACAACAAUAUUUUGGGACCCUAAACAGUUUCAAUUCAAAAACACUGCAUCUAUAGAGUUAUAGAUUAUGCAGAGGGCUACAAUUUUGAUAUAAAGCUUGUCUUAAUCCAAGUUCAUAUAAAAAAGUUAUGAAUUAUUUUAUGAAAAAGUCAGCAUACCACAUAAGAAAAAAAUAAAAAUUAAUAGAAAUAUAACCAGCUGAUAUAUACUCCCCACA
Molecule: long non-coding RNA, 280 nt
Filed under: Sorghum bicolor (sorghum)
Lineage: Eukaryota; Viridiplantae; Streptophyta; Magnoliopsida; Poales; Poaceae
Description: long non-coding RNA (SBIC_LNC011647)
Source: RNAcentral